GAUGAACGCUGACAGAAUGCUUAACACAUGCAAGUCAACUUGAAUUUGGGUUUUUAACUUAGAUUUGGGUGGCGGACGGGUGAGUAACGCGUAAAGAACUUGCCUCACAGCUAGGGACAACAUUUAGAAAUGAAUGCUAAUACCUGAUAUUAUGAUUUUAAGGCAUCUUAGAAUUAUGAAAGCUAUAAGCACUGUGAGAGAGCUUUGCGUCCCAUUAGCUAGUUGGAGAGGUAACAGCUCACCAAGGCGAUGAUGGGUAGCCGGCCUGAGAGGGUGAACGGCCACAAGGGGACUGAGACACGGCCCUUACUCCUACGGGAGGCAGCAGUGGGGAAUAUUGGACAAUGGACCGAGAGUCUGAUCCAGCAAUUCUGUGUGCACGAUGAAGUUUUUCGGAAUGUAAAGUGCUCUCAGUUGGGAAGAAAAAAAUGACGGUACCAACAGAAGAAGUGACGGCUAAAUACGUGCCAGCAGCCGCGGUAAUACGUAUGUCACGAGCGUUAUCCGGAUUUAUUGGGCGUAAAGCGCGUCUAGGUGGUUAUGUAAGUCUGAUGUGAAAAUGCAGGGCUCAACUCUGUAUUGCGUUGGAAACUGUAUAACUAGAGUACUGGAGAGGUAAGCGGAACUACAAGUGUAGAGGUGAAAUUCGUAGAUAUUUGUAGGAAUGCCGAUGGGGAAGCCAGCUUACUGGACAGAUACUGACGCUAAGCGCGAAAGCGUGGGUAGCAAACAGG
RNAcentral lists this ribosomal RNA (734 nucleotides) under uncultured Fusobacterium sp. RNAcentral describes it as "bacterial SSU rRNA". It matches the Rfam family "Bacterial small subunit ribosomal RNA", at positions 28 to 776 of the family's 1533-position model. Lineage: Bacteria; Fusobacteriati; Fusobacteriota; Fusobacteriia; Fusobacteriales; Fusobacteriaceae. The record is from RNAcentral.